Harpia harpyja (harpy eagle) is the source of this 469-nucleotide long non-coding RNA. RefSeq lists it as uncharacterized. The transcript has 3 exons. The record is from RefSeq and is a predicted model, not a curated record. NCBI's taxonomy places the organism in Eukaryota, Metazoa, Chordata, Aves, Accipitriformes, Accipitridae.
AAAUAACAACCCUUUAAAAAAAAAAUCACCCCACACAAGCCAUAAUGAUGAUGAUGAUGAUGACGGGAGGGGGGAAAUAAAUAAAUAAAAGCGAGCGAGAGUCGGCGACGGAGAGGGAGGCAGGUUCAAUUAUCUAAACAAAGAAAUCAUGGCGGAGUGUUUACACUCGGCAGCCCAAAGACUGUUGGAUUACGGACCCCCCCCCAAUCCCAACCGGCCCCCCCCGGCCCCCCGCAGUAGCGGCUUGCCGGAGCCCGCCCGCCGACACCUCGCCGCGGCCCGGAGUCUGAACCAGCUGCUUUGAAGAGAUCUUUCAAAUGAAUGGCUGAGCUGUGAAUUUCUAAGACUGUUGAUGAGAACAGAAGAAGGAACAGAUGGUGGCACCAUCCUGUCUCAGCACCAAAUACUGUCCUGGAGUUGUACAUGGCGCAAAAAGCAUCCCCGUGUGGAGAAGCAGAUAGUGUUCCUG